CCGAGAGUCCACUGACCUUCUCAAUUGAAUGAAUCCAUCACAUCAAUUGAUUCACCUAAGCUCAUUUGAAAUAACAUUUUUUUAUUCGGUAUUUUUUUAAUUAAUAAAAAGUUUGAGCAAAAACCAGAAAUAAAGAUUGUAAAAAUAAAAUUAAAAGAGUUUUUAAUGUCAGCAGAUGCAUGCGUGCAUCAUUAGUGCUUCCUCAGCCAUGGUCGUCUGUUAGACCCAUAGCAUAUGCUUCCCAAUUCAGGUAAGCCAAGGCCUCCUUCCUUGAUUUGUGAGGCUUCUUGAACGAAUCCUCUUUGAAGGCUGUAUCUGGCUACCAAUUCUUUUGUGAGUUUAUUACCUUUUUCUUCUUCUGUCGAGCGUUCCUUUCUUUUCAAAUACUUCAUGCCAACGCUGCAGUUCUGGACCAUGUUAAUCCCCAGAAUUUUGAUUUCGACAUCAGACUUCCCAUAGCCUGAAAUAGAAUAUUUUUAUUUAUGUGGAUGUAAUUGGACGAUUCCACCUGUUGCUCGAAGACCUUCAUUUAUUAUCCAGCAUUUGUAUGAACAUUGGAAGAAAAUGUGUUUUUUUUUUGCUAGAACAAUCCAGUGUAUGCAGACCCCAUCAUUGAGACUGGUUGGUGAAAUUCCACAUCUAGAUCAAGCUAAAUUAAUAGUGAGGGCCAAGGAAGCCAUUAAAACUCAAUCACUCUAAUUAUUUAUUGUUUAUACCUCCUGGAUAAUCUGAUUGGGACAUCCUCUUGGUGUUUACAUUAGGAGAGUAGGACAUCUGUUCGAGACUCCAGAUUAUUUCUGAGUUAGACGUUUUGAGACCGUCAUUC
Molecule: long non-coding RNA, 826 nt
Filed under: Zostera marina
Lineage: Eukaryota; Viridiplantae; Streptophyta; Magnoliopsida; Alismatales; Zosteraceae
Description: long non-coding RNA (ZMAR_LNC005753)
Source: RNAcentral